This is a long non-coding RNA of Gallus gallus (chicken), 604 nucleotides long. The record is from Ensembl. NCBI's taxonomy places the organism in Eukaryota, Metazoa, Chordata, Aves, Galliformes, Phasianidae.
ACACAAACUCACACUCUGAUGAUUAAGGUUACUUGUUAUUGACAGCACAGAGGGUUAUCCUGGCUCAGCCUCCUAUGACUGGAUUGACUCGAUGUCAGCAAUAAUGUUCACCGUGCACAUUUUCAACAUAAUCUCCAAGCAAAUUUUGAUCAUUUCUUCUUUUAUUUCUUUGUAUUUCAGGAAUGUCCAGAGUUAUCCUCCCACUGCUGCGAGGGUUCACUGCCCCUAUGAAUCAGACACAGCACACAGGCAAAAAAAAUAACGUUGCCAUCCCAACAGCUUGCAGUCAAAAUCAGAGAAGAGAAAAAGCAGAGUGAUAAAACAAACAGAAGAGAAAAGGCAGUUCAAUUGGUAACGUAGCAAUGUUAGGUGAUGUUCCAUAACCCCGAUCUGUAAGGACAGCUCCUGCCCUCACUGCGCAGCCAUUCAGCUCUGAUACCUGUUGAAGCUCCAGAGGCAAAUCAUCUGAACUGUUGGGUUUUUUUGUUGUUGUUUUGACAAAACCGUGCCUUCAGUCUGCUCCUCGUUUUCCUUUUGAAUUGUCGAAGAUGGAGAUUUCACCUUCCCUUUGAGAGCUGAUUCCAGUGGUUACUCAAUUCAUGUG